Molecule: ribosomal RNA, 790 nt
Filed under: uncultured bacterium
Lineage: Bacteria
Description: bacterial SSU rRNA
Rfam family: Bacterial small subunit ribosomal RNA
Source: RNAcentral
AGAGUUUGAUCCUGGCUCAGGAUGAACGCUAGCGGCAGGCUUAAUACAUGCAAGUCGAGGGGCAGCACGGGUAGCAAUAUCUGGUGGCGACCGGCGCACGGGUGCGUAACACGUAUGUAACCUACCUUAAACUGGGGAAUAGCCCCUUGAAAAAGGGAUUAAUACCUCAUAACACUGCGAGAAGGCAUCUUUUUGCAGUUAAAGUUCCGACGGUUUAAGAUGGGCAUGCGCGACAUUAGCUAGUUGGUGAGGUAACGGCUCACCAAGGCUGUGAUGUCUAGGGGUUCUGAGAGGAAAAUCCCCCACACUGGUACUGAGACACGGACCAGACUCCUACGGGAGGCAGCAGUAAGGAAUAUUGGUCAAUGGGCGCAAGCCUGAACCAGCCAUGCCGCGUGCAGGAUGACGGCCCUAUGGGUUGUAAACUGCUUUUGUACGGGAAAAAACCCUCCGACGUGUCGGGGGCUGAUGGUACCGUAAGAAUAAGGAUCGGCUAACUCCGUGCCAGCAGCCGCGGUAAUACGGAGGAUCCUAGCGUUAUCCGGAUUUAUUGGGUUUAAAGGGUGCGCAGGCGGAAUAAUAAGUCAGUGGUGAAAUCCUGCAGCUUAACUGCAGAACUGCCAUUGAUACUGUUAUUCUUGAGUAUAUUUGAAGUGGGCGGAGUGUGUCAUGUAGCGGUGAAAUGCUUAGAUAUGACACAGAACACCAAUUGCGAAGGCAGCUCACUAAGCUAUAACUGACGCUCAUGCACGAAAGCGUGGGGAUCAAACAGGAUUAGAUACCCUGGUAG